This is a non-coding RNA of Struthio camelus australis, 233 nucleotides long. NCBI's taxonomy places the organism in Eukaryota, Metazoa, Chordata, Aves, Struthioniformes, Struthionidae. The record is from RefSeq and is a predicted model, not a curated record.
GCCCACGGCAGCUGGGGGCCAAGUGCAGGCCGCGGGGGACUUUGCUGAGUGCAGAGGCAGGCUCCAGGCGCUGGCGGAGCGAGUGAUGGGGCGGACAGGUGCUGCUUCCCAGGCUGUCCCUGAGGUUGAGGUGGCCCUUGAGAACGACCUGCAAGAGGAGCCAAGCCAGCUCAGGAGCCAAGGGAUCGUGCCCACCUUCAGGAUCAGCCUCGAGGAGACGCAGGCGAGCACGG